UACGGAGGGUGCAAGCGUUAUCCGGAUUUACUGGGCUUAAAGGGUGCGCAGGCGGUUUUGUAAGUCCGUGGUGAAAGCCCCGGGCUCAACCUGGGAAUUGCCGUUGAUACUGCCAGUCUUGAGUAUAGUUGAGGUGGGCGGAAUACAUCAUGUAGCGGUGAAAUGCUUAGAUAUGAUGUAGAACACCGAUGGCGAAGGCAGCUCACUGAACUAUAACUGACGCUCAGGCACGAAAGCGUGGGUAGCGAACAGG
This 253-nucleotide ribosomal RNA is filed under the name uncultured bacterium. RNAcentral describes it as "partial 16S ribosomal RNA". It matches the Rfam family "Bacterial small subunit ribosomal RNA", at positions 524 to 776 of the family's 1533-position model. The record is from RNAcentral.